This 61-nucleotide ribosomal RNA is filed under the name Yersinia massiliensis. The record is from RNAcentral. Lineage: Bacteria; Pseudomonadati; Pseudomonadota; Gammaproteobacteria; Enterobacterales; Yersiniaceae.
CCUGGCGGCCAUAGCGCGGUGGUCCCACCUGAUCCCAUGCCGAACUCAGAAGUGAAACGCC